RNAcentral lists this long non-coding RNA (1222 nucleotides) under Pan troglodytes (chimpanzee). RNAcentral's name for it is "long non-coding RNA NONPTRT003995". The record is from RNAcentral. Lineage: Eukaryota; Metazoa; Chordata; Mammalia; Primates; Hominidae.
CAACUCAGAGGGAGGGAAGCAACCUUGAGUCAGCUCCCAGGCAGUAAUGAGUGUUCAAGGGAGAUAUAACUCUAAGGAAAAGGAUUGAGGUCAUGGAAUUAGAAGAAACAGAUGGAAGAAUCAUUUGAACCAUAUCCAGGUCUUUUGAAAAUGAUGAGACAGAAGAGAAAGAGAAAAUUGCUUCAGACAGUUUUGCUGAGAAAUUUGUCUCAGAUAAAUUUUGGAGUAAGGUCAGAGACCUAAGAUAAGAAAACCCCUAGGCAGAGGUGGGAAAAAAUAGAAAAAAGAAAACGAAAAGAGCAAAUACAUUCUUCCUUCCUAUCUUCCACUUGCCAGAGUAGCUUUACUAAGAUGCUGCCUGAUCAUUUCUCUCCAGACACUUUUGCCAAUGAUAUUAAUACUAUAAAGGAGCAUUUCUGGACUUGAUUCAUUAAUGAUUAGAAAGCUCGUAACAGAUUAGAUGACCAGGCUACAGUCUCACCUGCCAGGCAGUGCAGCUGCAGAUCUUGGCUGACCAUCAUGUCAGCACCUACUAUGUGCCAGUCACUGUGCCAGGAGUUGGAAAUAUGAGGAAGACCGUAAUUCUCAUAAUGAGAAUACAAGGAAGACCAUCUCUCAAGAAAGGAACAUCAUAAAACAUGUUUACUGUCAAGUCCUUGUCAUUAUCAAAAAUAUCUCCGGAUUGAUGUCAUUCUGAGAAAAGUGAUUUCAUACUGAAAAAAAAUUCUACAAAAAUAGUAAAACUCUUCUUCUCAAUUUUCAGAACUUGGAUGGGGUUGGGGGCAGGUGCUUUCAUCUAUUUUCAUCUUGUCCUGGUAGAAAUUAUUUGCUUGAUUAACAUUUUGGUGGGGAAGUUCAGUCUCUAAGGCUACAGAUGAGAAGAUCAGUUACUGGAUGGGUUCCUAACUUCAAUGUCAAAUCCAAGAGCCUGAAAAUAAAGUAUGGAAAGAAAGGGAAACAAAGAAAAGUUAUCAGACAAUGUGAAGACAUUUUAUGGAGAGGAAGAAAGAGUGAGUGAGCACAGGAAAAAUCACAAAGCAGUAUAUGAAGAAAAGAAAGAGAUAACAGUUAUUAGUAAGUAAAGAGAUAAUUAAGAGAUAAUCCUUUCAGUGGCAUGAACACCAUAGUUUGUGACAUCACUGGUCAUUAAUGAUUUGUAAGAAGCAGUGUCUCAACUAUGUUUCUGUUACAUUAAUUAUACCCGAAAUAAAAUAUUUGCACA